Regulatory RNA element from Alloiococcus otitis ATCC 51267, 75 nucleotides. It matches the Rfam family "L17 ribosomal protein downstream element". The record is from Rfam. Lineage: Bacteria; Bacillati; Bacillota; Bacilli; Lactobacillales; Carnobacteriaceae.
GGAGCGUUACGAUGAUGGGACUCAUUAGUUCCAAGUGUCUAGCUCUCGUUUUCCUGGAGGCAACUUGCUUCCAGG